AAUACAUGUACCAAUGAAAUAAAACGUGCAGAUUUGGGGCUUUUUGCCUCCUACCUUUGCUCUGGGCCCAGAGCUCCCCAAUGAUGACACGGGAGGUUUGUGCAAAGAUCUAAAGUCGAGAAGGAUUAGUUUAAAGAGUCAGAUGGAAAAGGACACAAAUGAAAAUGCCUUCUGCAUGAGCCUGAAAACCAAAACUUAGCAAUGAGCGAUUCUAGCUUCGGAGGCUGUGACAAGUGAUUGCAAAGGAGGGAAGUUUCCAGUCACUUCACAGCAGUGGAUUGAAACGUCCGAGUGCUACAGAUGCUACAGAUGAGACAAAGUUCCGCUGGAUCGUCACAAAAAGAAGCAGUUACCAAAACAAAACAAAAUGAAGAAACGCUUGGAUGUUUGUGAAGACGAGUAGAGUCUUUGUCCUGAUGGGGGUUGAGAUU
Molecule: long non-coding RNA, 431 nt
Organism: Marmota monax (woodchuck)
Lineage: Eukaryota; Metazoa; Chordata; Mammalia; Rodentia; Sciuridae
Exons: 3
Source: RefSeq, a predicted model, not a curated record